AUGGGACUGAGGACCGCGCCAGCCGGGACCCCGGAGACCGCCAGCCGCUUCCCCCUCCUCGCGCCCCGCGCCCCUGACCCCGGCGCCGCUGCGCCCCCGGCCCCGCUGCAUCCCCAGCCCCGCAGUCUCUGCCCCGCCCGGGUCGGCUCCGGAACGUCCCCCCCGGGCCACGGCCCGGGUGCUCACCGCGCGGCGCUGCUCCGGGCUCAGCUCGGUUUCCCGCCGUCCUCCAGGAGCGCUCGGGUCGGGUCGGAGCCCCGGUGGCCGCUAGUCUCCACGGCGUUGCGGGAUCGGCGUCGGUGCCCGCGCCCCAAGCCAGCCGAGCCAACUUUCCGGCUGCGACGCAGGGCGAGGGCGGCGGCGGAGGGGCGGGCGCGGGGCGGGAGCGCGGGGGUGGGAGCAGCAGCCGAGGGUCCCCGCCCGCCCCGCGCGCAGCCUCCCCGAGAACUUCGGUUCUGCCCACCCUGCGCGGUAAGCCCCGCAGAGCGACUCGGACCCGCUAGCGGACCCCGUCCGGCCACAAGCAGACUCGGAGCCCUGACUUCCGCCCCGCGGUCCCUCGCCGCACAGAACUUGGUCCCCUGGAUCCUGGUCCGGCAGACCCCUGACCCCACGGACCCCGGCACGGCAGGUGGCGAUCACGGCGGGUCCUGGCUCCCCGCGGUGACACCCCAGGUGUGGAGGAGCGCGGCGGGGCGUGGGGGCCGUGGCUCAGCGCCCGGUCCUCUCGCUCCCUCCGCAUCCCUGGGCGGGGCACCUCCUUGCGCCCUUCCUCCAGUGUUCCUGGGUUCUCGCCGCUUCUUUCCUGCUGCCUUCCUGAUUUUCUGGAUGAACCCACACCCGCACUCGCCCCCACCGUGCCUCUUUGCAGAGCAGAUGGGGGCUGGAGUGGGGGCCGACAUGGGUGGACCGGCGGGGCGGUCCCUAGGGUGCCCUUUAACUCUUUCUGUGCCACAUCCCCGGUCUCCAGCCAGUUCUGUCGCGCUGAGGCUCCUCCAGCACCGCUCAUACGUGACAGCGCGCGGACCCUGGGCCGCAACCUGCUGGUCCUGCGGCCGCAGGGCGCUCUCCCCUCCCUCCCGCACCACCUCCUUUCCUAGGAGCCGAGAAGCCCCAGCCAGAAUCCCUACCUUCCCCAAGAGGCGCGCUCAGGGAACACUCUCCCCUCCCUCACUCCCCCUAAAGCCUACAUCACACCUGGCUUUGGCGCCACCAGAACCUCAGCCCCCGCUCCUCCCCUUCCAACCCCAGCAGUCCUUGCUCUGUGCUUAG
Molecule: long non-coding RNA, 1272 nt
Filed under: Callithrix jacchus (white-tufted-ear marmoset)
Lineage: Eukaryota; Metazoa; Chordata; Mammalia; Primates; Cebidae
Description: lncRNA (ENSCJAG00000082069.1)
Source: RNAcentral